RNAcentral lists this ribosomal RNA (459 nucleotides) under uncultured bacterium. Its description in RNAcentral is "partial 16S ribosomal RNA". It matches the Rfam family "Bacterial small subunit ribosomal RNA", at positions 338 to 795 of the family's 1533-position model. The record is from RNAcentral.
CCUACGGGUGGCAGCAGUGAGGAAUAUUGGUCAAUGGGCGCGAGCCUGAACCAGCCAAGUAGCGUGAAGGAUGACUGCCCUACGGGUUGUAAACUUCUUUUAUAAAGGAAUAAAGUGAGGCAUGCGUGCCUUCUUGUAUGUACUUUAUGAAUAAGGAUCGGCUAACUCCGUGCCAGCAGCCGCGGUAAUACGGAGGAUCCGAGCGUUAUCCGGAUUUAUUGGGUUUAAAGGGUGCGUAGGCGGAGCGUUAAGUCAGUGGUAAAAUUGGGGGGCUCAACCCAUACCCGCCAUUGAAACUGGCGCUCUUGAGUGGAAGAGAGGUAUGCGGAAUGCGUGGUGUAGCGGUGAAAUGCAUAGAUAUCACGCAGAACCCCGAUUGCGAAGGCAGCAUGCCGGAUUCCUACUGACACUGAAGCACGAAAGCGUGGGGAUCGAACAGGAUUAGAUACCCGAGUAGUC